RNAcentral lists this ribosomal RNA (519 nucleotides) under Triticum aestivum (bread wheat). RNAcentral's name for it is "partial small subunit ribosomal RNA". The record is from RNAcentral. Lineage: Eukaryota; Viridiplantae; Streptophyta; Magnoliopsida; Poales; Poaceae.
AUGUAUGCCAAUUCUAACAUUCAUUCUUCUCACAUAUUUUUCAUAGACAAGUACUACCUUGUGGAUGCUGGCUAUCCUAAUAGAAAGGGAUAUCUCGCACCGUACAAAGGUGAAAGAUAUCAUGUGCCUGACUUUCAUAGAGGUGUUCCACCCAAUACUCCUAAAGAAAAGUUCAAUAGGCUCCACUCGUCCAAACGCAAUUGCAUAGAAAGAGCAUUUGGAGUGUGGAAGAUGAAAUGGCAGAUUCUUCUAAAGAUGCCAAACUACUCCAUCGAAACACAAAAUAUGAUUGUUGCCGCUACUAUGACUUUGCACAACUAUGUUCGCUUCCAUGAUGAAGAAGAUAUUCACUUUGUUCGAUGCGACAGGGACCCGAACUAUGUGCCAACAAUUCUGGAACGAUACAAGAAAUUUGUUGUUCCUUCACACACAUUGGAUACAUCAACUACAGCGGAAAAUGGUGAAGACAUGGAUGUGUUUAGGCAAGAACUAGCUACAGCCAUUGCUCUAAGUUGGUGA